AUGAUUGAUAUACCUCAACUAAAGCUCGGCACUUUCGCUGGUGGUGGGGGACAUUCCAAGGGCAGGAGCAGCUGCCCCGCUCUGGAGCUGAUCCAACCGGCCCCGGCAGCCCAUGGCUGGCUGUCAAUGGUCCUGAAGACUGUGAUCCUGCUGUCCAUGGCCCUGCUGACCAUGGUCCUGCUGACCACAGUCCUGCUGUCCAUGGUCCUGCUGACCGUGAGCCUGCUGACCAUGGUCCUGCUGUCCAUGGUCCUGCUGACCGUGAGCCUGCUGACCAUGGUCCCACUGCCCACAGUCCCACUGCCCACAGUCCUGCUGACCGUGGUCCCACUGACCACAGUCCCACUGCCCACAGUCCUGCUGACCAUGAUCCCGCUGACCACAGUCCUGCUGUCCACAGUCCUGCUGACCAUGAUCCUGCUGACCAUGGUCCCACUGCCCCACUGCCCACAGCCCCACUGCCCACUGCCCCACUGCCCACAGCCCCACUGCCCACAGCCCACUGCCCACAGCCCCACAGCCCCACUGCCCACAGCCCCACAGCCCACUGCCCACUGCCCACUGCCCACUGCCCACAGCCCCACUGCCCACAGCCCCACAGCCCCACAGCCCCACAGCCCCACUGCCCACAGCCCACAGCCCCACUGCCCACUGCCCACUGCCCACAGCCCCACUGCCCACUGCCCACAGCCCCACUGCCCACUGCCCACUGCCCACAGCCCCACUGCCCACAGCCCCACUGCCCACUGCCCACUGCCCCACUGCCCACAGCCCCACUGCCCACUGCCCACAGCCCCACUGCCCACAGCCCCACAGCCCACUGCCCCACAGCCCCACUGCCCACUGCCCACUGCCCACAGCCCACUGCCCCACAGCCCCACUGCCCCACUGCCCACUGCCCAUUGUCCACAGCCCCACAGCCCCACAGCCCCACUGCCCACUGCCCACAGCCCCACUGCCCACAGCCCCACUGCCCACUGCCCCACUGACCCCACUGCCCACUGCCCCACUGACCCCACUGCCCACAGCCCCACUGCCCACAGCCCCACUGCCCCACUGCCCACUGCCCCACUGCCCCACUGCCCACUGCCCACAGCCCACUGCCCACAGCCCCACUGCCCCACUGCCCACAGCCCCACUGCCCACAGCCCCACUGCCCACUGCCCCACUGACCCCACUGCCCACUGCCCACUGCCCACUGCCCACUGCCCCACAGUCCCACUGCUCAAUUCCCACUGCCCACAGCCCCACUGA
RNAcentral lists this long non-coding RNA (1254 nucleotides) under Taeniopygia guttata (zebra finch). Its description in RNAcentral is "lncRNA (ENSTGUG00000025606.1)". Lineage: Eukaryota; Metazoa; Chordata; Aves; Passeriformes; Estrildidae. The record is from RNAcentral.